This 207-nucleotide ribosomal RNA is filed under the name uncultured bacterium. RNAcentral's name for it is "partial 16S ribosomal RNA". It matches the Rfam family "Bacterial small subunit ribosomal RNA", at positions 568 to 774 of the family's 1533-position model. The record is from RNAcentral.
UGCGUAGGCGGUUUCGUGUGUCGGGUGUGAAAUCUCACCGUUCAUCGGUGAAACUGCACUCGAAACUACGGGACUAGAGUACAGGAGAGGAGAGCGGAAUUCUCGGUGUAGCGGUGAAAUGCGUAGAUAUCGAGAAGAACGCCGGUGGCGAAAGCGGCUCUCUGGACUGAUACUGACGCUGAGGCACGAAAGCUGGGGGAGCAAACA